AUGAUAACUGAUUCCUUGCAGUUGACGAAGAUGAUACCACGUGCCAAUGCUCCUGAGAAGAAGAAUAUCAUGGCUGGUAAGAUGGAGAAGAUAAAAGAAGAAGUCUGCAAGCUACGGGUCGACAUGGACGAAUUCAAUCUUAUGUCAUCUGAUUCCGAUGCAAGCAUUGAGCCACCAGUUACUGAUGUAAUAGAGAUUGAAGAACCAAUUAUUGUAGGAAGGGAUAAACAAAUACAGAGGAUAAUGGAAAGUAUACCUGUGCAAACAGGGCACUGCACCAUUGUUCACAUUUAUGGCCAGGAUGGCAGCGGCAAGACAACAUUAGCACGAAUGGUUUUCAACCAUACCAGAUUCAAAGACUACUCUCGCGUAUGGAUCCAAUGCUCUGGGAAUUUUCGCUUGCAUGAGAUGGGGAAGGCCAUAAUUUCUCGGGUAUCAGGGGAAGAGAUCAACGGUGAUUCAAAUGAUGACAUGGAGUAUGUAAGGAAGCGCCUUGACCAGCUACUUGAUAAUGGUAUUAAGGUACUUGUUGUUUUAGAUGACAUACAUCUAUCAUGGGGUGAUAGCGAAGAGUUGACAGAUCUGUUAAGGGAAAGGAACAAUCUUAGUGAGGUAAUUGUCGUAACAACGGGACGUGGACAAUUAUAUUUUGAUUCAUUGACAGAUGAGAUGGUAUGGAGUAUUUAUGACAUAAGGGUAUUUCAGAGUUGUAGUGCAUUGAGUGAUGAUAUGUGCUGGACAAUAAUCAAACAACGAAGUCACUUUGAAGGUAGAUCGUUUGACAAGCAAGCGAUGGAGCAGGUUGGUGCAGAGAUUGCAAAAAGGUGUCAGGGUUCACCAUUAGCAGCUGCGGUGCUUGGUGGCGUGCUACUCUACAAAGAUGCUACAGGAUGGGCAGAAAUACUGAACAGUGAUAUAUGGGCAUAUAACCACAUUGGUGAGCCAUUCCUCAUGUUGGCAUACACUAGCAUGCCGCCGAGCUUACGGCUAUGCUUGGCUUACUGUGCGAUGAUCCAAUAUGGUCACACUAUAGGUAAAGAUGAUCUGAUUUAUCAAUGGACUUCUCUCGGUCUUCUUGAAUCAGACAAAUUCUCUAUGAUACAACUUCGUGAGCAGUAUAUUGGGAUGCUUCUGGACAUGUCACUUCUUCAAACAGUGCCGGUUUCGACUAGUAGAAAUGGUGAUAAGAGUACAUUCUUGUUCACUAUGAACAAUAUGGUGCAGAGCAUUGCAAAACUAUAUAUGUGUGAUAUAUAUAAUACAAUGGAGACAUCUUAUCAGGGGGGAUUAUGCUCUAAUAGCGGCUGCCGUUAUGUGCUGCUUAACAAUUUCAAGUCAUCCAGUAAAUUAUCUUACACCCACAUAAGGGCGUUACGUUGUGUGGGUUCUGGCAUAAGGGAGCUCAUCGAUGAUUCGCUUCCAUUUUCGUGGUGCCUGCGUGUCUUGGAUUUAAAUGACAGAUCAAUGCUGAACUUACCAGAUUCUAUCUAUCAGUUGAGGCAUUUGGGAUAUCUUAAUUUAUCAGGCUGCUCUGGACUAGUUAUUCUGCCGGAGUCACUUGGAGAUUUAUUAAAUUUGUUGUAUAUUGAUUUAUCAGGCUGCUCCGGACUAAGAAAUCUACCUGAAUCAUUUGGGAAGCUAACAAAUUUGGCGCAUAUUGAAUUAUCAGGCUGCUCUGGACUUGCAAAUUUGCCAGAUUCACUUGGGAAGCUGACUAGUUUGAAGCAUAUCGAUUUAUCAGGCUGCUCUGGACUUGUAAAUUUGCCAGAUUCAUUUGGGAAGCUGACUAGUUUGAAGCAUAUCGAUUUAUCAGGCUGCUCUAGGCUUGUAAAUCUGCCAGAUUCAUUUGGAAAGCUGACUAGUUUGAAGCAUAUCGAUUUAUCAGGCUGCUCUGGAAUUGUAAAUCUGCCAGAUUCAUUUGGAAAGCUGACUAGUUUGAAGCAUAUCGAUUUAUCAGGCUGCUCUGGACUUGUAAAUCUGCCAGAUUCAUUUGGAAAGCUGACUAGUUUGAAGCAUAUCGAUUUAUCAGGCUGCUCUGGACUAGAAAAACUCCCGCAAUCAUUCGUGAAGCUAAUAAAUUUGGUGCACAUCAACUUAUCACAGUGCUCAGGACUAGUUAGUCUGCCUCUGUCAUUUGGGAAGCUAAUAUAUUUGCUGCACAUCAACUUAUCAGGCUGCUCUGGGUUGGUAAACUUACCGGAAUCAUUUGGGAACCUUGUAAAUUUGGUGCAUAUCAACUUGUCAGGCUGCUGUGGGCUAUUAAAUCUGCCUGGGUCAUUUGGGAAUCUAAUAAAUUUGUUGCACAUUGAUUUAUCGUAUUGCCACGGACUAGGUAAACUGCCGGAAUCAUUCAGGAAGCUCAAAUUUUUGGUACACCUAGACCUAUCAUUCUGGUCUUGUUUUGAAGGGGUCGAGAAAGCUCUUGGUGGCCUUACCAAUCUCCAGCACUUGAACUUGUCACACCCUUGCUGUUAUCUUGCUCAACAACAGUCCUGUCUCGAAGGGCUAAAAGAUGUCCUGGGCAAGCUCACCAAACUAGAGUAUUUGAACCUAUCCAUGUUCCUGAAUCCUAUCUGUUACUCAAAGACAGUAGAGCGAACUCAUGAAUUUAUUGAAUGUAUCAGUGUCUUUUCGAGUCUGGAGCAUUUGGAUUUGUCUCAUAAUAAAUUUCUCCAUCAUCUACCUGAAAGUUUAGGUGAACUCAACAAUCUGCAAAGGCUGGACCUCUCAGGCUGCAUGAGACUGAAGAGCAUAGCCAAAAGGAUAGGUGAAAUCAAGUCUCUUAAGUCAAUACAUGUGAGGAACUGCCGCAGUUUGAAAAGUUGUCAGCUUGUGGUUAAAGCUGAUAACGGAGAAACAUAUAGGAACACAAACAUUGUUGAGCUCGAGGAUGCAAACUUGGAAGAGCUUGAGAUAAGCUGUCUUGAAAACGUGAAGACUACAAAAGAUGCGGAGCGAAUAAGAAUGGCACUGGAAGGAAGGACUCAAAAGUUGAAACUUUGCUGGACUGUGGGCUCCCAAGUAUCCAUGGAGGGCAAUACCCUGUUAGGAAAAUUAUUGCCAUCACAUCUGCAGUGCCUUGAGCUACAUGGUUAUAGUGACGAGACCCGCCUUUCAGCCUGGUGGACAUCAACCACAUAUGGCGAGACCUGCCUUGCACCCUGGUGGACAGCAACCAUAUCUUUUCGUGUCUCUACUCUUGUAGAGGUUACCAUUGAGGAUUUCCCGAGGUGCAGCUGCCCACCACCACUGUGUUUGUUACAAAACCUGCGGAGAGCAGUUUUCAGAAGGAUGGCUAGCAUUACAAGAUUCAACGUCAAUGACCUCACUGAUGGAAACCGAGCAGCAAUCCAUCGACUCCCCAAGUUCACUCUAGAGUUGGAUGAUAUGGAAAGCCUGGAAGAGUUCAAAACAACAUAUGACAGAAGAGGUAAGGAGUGUGUGCUCCCGGCCAUUGGUGAACUGGUUAUUACGGGGUGCCCCAAGUUGUGCUUUGGACCUUUCACGCCUAGAGCUCGGAGGUUGGUGAUCUCAGACUGCAGCAAACUAAUGGUUUAUUCCUGGUGGAACAGAGGAGGCCAGAGUGUGGAAACCCCUAUUACCUCUGUUUUAGUAAAUGAACUGGUGGUCAAAAACUGCAACCUAGCUCUAUAUAACUGGACUUUGCUUCACAGCCUCCCUGGCCUCUAUAGUUUAACUGUCAAAGAUUGCCGUGAUCUGAAGACUUUACCACGGACUUUACCACAUACUAUUGAGGCCCUAUCCUCCCUCCGGUCACUAUGCCUGUCCAAUUGCUUGAUGGAGCCACUAGAACAACACUUGGGUGACCUCACCUCUCUCCGGGAACUGAAGAUCGCGUCCUGCAAUAUGUUCAAGGGAUUCACGCGGAGUUUGCAAAGACUCACCUCCCUUGGGUUGAUGCAUCUUAGUGACUGCAACAGUAUCACAUCACUGCCGGAAUGGUUAGGAGAUCUCACCAAUCUUGAGAAGCUUGCCAUCCACAGAUGCCCUGCCAUUGAAUCUUUGCCGGGCAGCAUAAAUAAACUAACCAACCUGAAGGAUCUGCAUAUUUUGGACUGUCCAAAAUUGAAGGGCUGGUGUGAAAGGAAGGAGAACAAGAAAAUAAUGGCUCACAUCCGACCAAACUAUGAAGAACAUGGUACUAGCAGGCCGGGUAGCAAGGACGAGGGCGAGGUGGUGCGUGAAUUGAAGGACUGGUCGGACUGCAAGGAGGAGGAUGAGGAGGAAGACAAUGACGGGGAGGAGGAGGAGGAGGAGGAAGACGAUGACGAGGAGGAGGAGGAGGAGGCAGUAUUAGCGGGUGCAUUGGAAACUUCAGUGGUGACAGACAACACGGAUGUAGGACAGGCGGAGGCAGUAUUGCCGGAUGUAGUGGAGAAUCCAGUGGUGACAGGCAACACGGAUGCUGAAGAGGAGGAGGCAAGGAGGGAUGUGGAUGCAGCAGCGGCAGCUGAUGUAUGCUUGGAGCUGCGAUUGGGACUUCCCAGUAAUGAAGAACCGGUCCACAUCAGAGAAGAAGAUGAAAUUUCUCUAAGGCUGUAUUUAUAA
Molecule: ribosomal RNA, 4569 nt
Filed under: Triticum aestivum (bread wheat)
Lineage: Eukaryota; Viridiplantae; Streptophyta; Magnoliopsida; Poales; Poaceae
Description: partial small subunit ribosomal RNA
Source: RNAcentral